UGGGGAAUCUUCCGCAAUGGACGAAAGUCUGACGGAGCAACGCCGCGUGAGUGAUGAAGGAUUUCGGUCUGUAAAGCUCUGUUGUUUAUGACGAACGUGCAGUGUGUGAACAAUGCAUUGCAAUGACGGUAGUAAACGAGGAAGCCACAGCUAACUACGUGCCAGCAGCCGCGGUAAUACGUAGGUGGCGAGCGUUGUCCGGAAUUAUUGGGCGUAAAGAGCAUGUAGGCGGCUUAAUAAGUCGAGCGUGAAAAUGCGGGGCUCAACCCCGUAUGGCGCUGGAAACUGUUAGGCUUGAGUGCAGGAGAGGAAAGGGGAAUUCCCAGUGUAGCGGUGAAAUGCGUAGAUAUUGGGAGGAACACCAGUGGCGAAGGCGCCUUUCUGGACUGUGUCUGACGCUGAGAUGCGAAAGCCAGGGUAGCGAACGGG
RNAcentral lists this ribosomal RNA (429 nucleotides) under Acidobacteriota bacterium. RNAcentral describes it as "Acidobacteria bacterium partial 16S ribosomal RNA". It matches the Rfam family "Bacterial small subunit ribosomal RNA", at positions 355 to 776 of the family's 1533-position model. Lineage: Bacteria; Pseudomonadati; Acidobacteriota. The record is from RNAcentral.